This 107-nucleotide small nuclear RNA is filed under the name Procavia capensis (Cape rock hyrax). The record is from RNAcentral. Lineage: Eukaryota; Metazoa; Chordata; Mammalia; Hyracoidea; Procaviidae.
GUGCUUGCUUCAGCAGCACAUGUACUACAAUUGGAAUGAUACAGAGAAGACUAGCAUGACUUCUGCACAAGGAUGACAUGCAAAUUUGUGAAGCAUUCCAUAGUUUU